This 471-nucleotide ribosomal RNA is filed under the name uncultured Russula. Its description in RNAcentral is "eukaryotic LSU rRNA". The stretch from base 49 to 202 matches the Rfam family "5.8S ribosomal RNA". The record is from RNAcentral. Lineage: Eukaryota; Fungi; Basidiomycota; Agaricomycetes; Russulales; Russulaceae.
AUACAGUGUAGAAUGUUUAUUUUCGCGCUCGCACGCGAUCAAUAAUACAACUUUCAACAACGGAUCUCUUGGCUCUCGCAUCGAUGAAGAACGCAGCGAAAUGCGAUACGUAAUGUGAAUUGCAGAAUUCAGUGAAUCAUCGAAUCUUUGAACGCACCUUGCGCCCCUUGGCAUUCCGAGGGGCACACCCGUUUGAGUGUCGUGAAAUCUUCAAAAACCCUCUCUUUUGAGGGGGAUUUUUGGACUUGGAGGUUCAAUGCUCGCUUUCGCCUUUUAGAAAGCGAGCUCCUCUCAAACGAAUCAGUGGGGUCUGCUUUGCCGGUCCUUGACGUGAUAAGAUCUUUCUACGUUUUGGAUUCGACAUCGUCCCGCUUCCAAUCGUCCCACGGACAAAGGAUGGUGCUCCGGUCGCGGCCGGACCCACCAAAAAAACCUUGACCUCAAAUCGGGUGAGACUACCCGCUGAACUUA